RNAcentral lists this ribosomal RNA (237 nucleotides) under uncultured bacterium. RNAcentral's name for it is "partial 16S ribosomal RNA". It matches the Rfam family "Bacterial small subunit ribosomal RNA", at positions 106 to 339 of the family's 1533-position model. The record is from RNAcentral.
GUGAGUAACACGUAGAUGAUCUACCUUUUAGUUGGGGAUAGCCCAUGGAAACAUGGAGUAAUACCGAAUAAUCUCUUAACCUCUUGUGGUUUUGAGGAAAGAACCGUUUGGUUCGCUGAAAGAUGAGUCUGCGCACUAUUAGCUUGUUGGUGGGGUAAAGGCCUACCAAGGCGACGAUAGUUAGCCGACCUGAGAGGGUGAUCGGCCACAUUGGGACUGAGACACGGCCCAGACUCC